RNAcentral lists this ribosomal RNA (484 nucleotides) under uncultured bacterium. RNAcentral's name for it is "partial 16S ribosomal RNA". It matches the Rfam family "Bacterial small subunit ribosomal RNA", at positions 30 to 507 of the family's 1533-position model. The record is from RNAcentral.
AUUGAACGCUGGCGGCAGGCCUAACACAUGCCAGUCGAGCGGAUGAAGGGAGCUUGCUCCUGGAUUCAGCGGCGGACGGGUGAGUAAUGCCUAGGAAUCUGCCUGGUAGUGGGGGAUAACGUCCGGAAACGGGCGCUAAUACCGCAUACGUCCUGAGGGAGAAAGUGUGGGAUCUUCGGACCUCACGCUAUCAGAUGAGCCUAGGUCGGAUUAGCUAGUUGGUGGGGUAAAGGCCUACCAAGGCGACGAUCCGUAACUUGUCUGAGAGGAUGAUCAGUCACAUUGGAACUGAGACACGGUCCAGACUCCUACGGGAGGCAGCAGUGGGGAAUAUUGGACAAUGGGCGAAAGCCUGAUCCAGCCAUGCCGCGUGUGUGAAGAAGGUCUUCGGAUUGUAAAGCACUUUAAGUUGGGAGGAAGGGCAGUAAGUUAAUACCUUGCUGUUUUGACGUUACCAACAGAAUAAGCACCGGCUAACUUCGUG